GGGCGUUAAGUUGCAGGGUAUAGACCCGAAACCCGGUGAUCUAGCCAUGGGCAGGUUGAAGGUUGGGUAACACUAACUGGAGGACCGAACCGACUAAUGUUGAAAAAUUAGCGGAUGACCUGUGGCUGGGGGUGAAAGGCCAAUCAAACCGGGAGAUAGCUGGUUCUCCCCGAAAGCUAUUUAGGUAGCGCCUCGUGAAUUCAUCUCCGGGGGUAGAGCACUGUUUCGGCUAGGGGGCCAUCCCGGCUUACCAACCCGAUGCAAACUGCGAAUACCGGAGAAUGUUAUCACGGGAGACACACGGCGGGUGCUAACGUCCGUCGUGAAGAGGGAAACAACCCAGACCGCCAGCUAAGGUCCCAAAGUCAUGGUUAAGUGGGAAACGAUGUGGGAAGGCCCAGACAGCCAGGAUGUUGGCUUAGAAGCAGCCAUCAUUUAAAGAAAGCGUAAUAGCUCACUGGUCGAGUCGGCCUGCGCGGAAGAUGUAACGGGGCUAAACCAUGCACCGAAGCUGCGGCAGCGACGCUUAUGCGUUGUUGGGUAGCGA
This 547-nucleotide ribosomal RNA is filed under the name Salmonella enterica subsp. enterica serovar Weltevreden. RNAcentral describes it as "partial 23S ribosomal RNA". It matches the Rfam family "Bacterial large subunit ribosomal RNA", at positions 690 to 1234 of the family's 2925-position model. The record is from RNAcentral. Lineage: Bacteria; Pseudomonadati; Pseudomonadota; Gammaproteobacteria; Enterobacterales; Enterobacteriaceae.